This 253-nucleotide ribosomal RNA is filed under the name uncultured bacterium. Its description in RNAcentral is "partial 16S ribosomal RNA". It matches the Rfam family "Bacterial small subunit ribosomal RNA", at positions 524 to 776 of the family's 1533-position model. The record is from RNAcentral.
UACGUAGGGUGCGAGCGUUGUCCGGAAUUAUUGGGCGUAAAGGGCUCGUAGGCGGUCUGUCACGUCGGGAGUGAAAACACGGGGCUUAACCCCGUGCCUGCUUCCGAUACGGGCAGACUAGAGGUAUGCAGGGGAGAACGGAAUUCCUGGUGUAGCGGUGAAAUGCGCAGAUAUCAGGAGGAACACCGGUGGCGAAGGCGGUUCUCUGGGCAUUACCUGACGCUGAGGCGCGAAAGCGUGGGGAGCGAACAGG